RNAcentral lists this unclassified non-coding RNA (239 nucleotides) under uncultured fungus. RNAcentral's name for it is "sequence contains ITS1". Lineage: Eukaryota; Fungi. The record is from RNAcentral.
GUACAAGUUCUAUUCGCCACCACGGCGAACGAAGCGUUCCGAUAACAUGCAAAGGGGUGUGUGUAGUGUCAAAAGGACGCGAGCCCCGAACGAGUGAACGCUCGUGACCCACGCAGAGGUGCACAGGUGUGUGAGAGAGACAAAGACGAGGCGUGCACGUCGCGACCCCGGUGGGGAAGCCAGCUACAACCUCGCCCCAGCUUUCGUUAAUGAUCCUUCCGCAGGUUCACCUACGGAAA